RNAcentral lists this ribosomal RNA (557 nucleotides) under uncultured Methylobacterium sp. RNAcentral's name for it is "bacterial SSU rRNA". It matches the Rfam family "Bacterial small subunit ribosomal RNA", at positions 102 to 694 of the family's 1533-position model. Lineage: Bacteria; Pseudomonadati; Pseudomonadota; Alphaproteobacteria; Hyphomicrobiales; Methylobacteriaceae. The record is from RNAcentral.
ACGGGUGAGUAACACGUGGGAACGUACCCUUUGGUUCGGAAUAACGCUGGGAAACUAGCGCUAAUACCGGAUACGCCCUUUUGGGGAAAGGCUUGCUGCCGAAGGAUCGGCCCGCGUCUGAUUAGCUAGUUGGUGGGGUAAUGGCCUACCAAGGCGACGAUCAGUAGCUGGUCUGAGAGGAUGAUCAGCCACACUGGGACUGAGACACGGCCCAGACUCCUACGGGAGGCAGCAGUGGGGAAUAUUGGACAAUGGGCGCAAGCCUGAUCCAGCCUUGCCGCGUGAGUGAUGAAGGCCUUAGGGUUGUAAAGCUCUUUUGUCCGGGACGAUAAUGACGGUACCGGAAGAAUAAGCCCCGGCUAACUUCGUGCCAGCAGCCGCGGUAAUACGAAGGGGGCUAGCGUUGCUCGGAAUCACUGGGCGUAAAGGGCGCGUAGGCGGCCAUUCAAGUCGGGGGUGAAAGCCUGUGGCUCAACCACAGAAUUGCCUUCGAUACUGUUUGGCUUGAGUAUGGUAGAGGUCGGUGGAACUGCGAGUGUAGAGGUGAAAUUCGUAGA